CCUGUGUAGGGAUGUGGGCCACAAAGGCAGCUGACAAGGCUUGCGCCUGGGUCGAGUGCACCCUCACAAUGGGCAGUGGGCGCACACCGCCAGCUCAUAACAGGAGCGGAUGCACCAAGUUAUCCAGUUGGAAAGCCUCUGAGUGGAAAUUGGCUGGUCUCUCGCGUGCUCAGCCAAGGCCCAAGGCGGUGCACGUGGACAGGAGAAGUGCCACACAAUCCCUCAUCUGCGAUCGGGAGGUGCCCUUGACCAGCCAGUCGUCCAUAUAGGGGAAUAGCUGGACCCCACCCCCGCGCCUGAGCAGAGCCUUCCCAUCGAAAGGGAGAUCCUGCAUUGACAAUAGUGCUUUGCUGGAUAGCCCAGAGAGCAGGAGCCAGGAUGCCCGUCUCAUGGACACCGCCGAGGCCAUGGACCGUGCGGCCGUGUCCGCUGCAUCCAAAGUGACCUGCAGGGAUGCUCUCGCGGCCGCUGCCUCUUCCUCCACAAGCGCCUUAAACUCCUUUCUGUCGUGCUCUCGGAGGGAGUCCUCAAACUUGGGGAGGGACCCCUAGA
Mauremys mutica (yellowpond turtle) is the source of this 552-nucleotide long non-coding RNA. RefSeq lists it as uncharacterized. The transcript has 3 exons. The record is from RefSeq and is a predicted model, not a curated record. Lineage: Eukaryota; Metazoa; Chordata; Testudines; Geoemydidae.